GCCUGUGUCGCUCACCUUGGUCUAUGUGAAUAUUAAACAAUGGACACAGAUGGAUUCAUGACAAAAUUGUGUUUUGGUGAUGGUGAUGUGUUUUGUAGAUUUUACUUUACUAACAUUCUUGCUGCUUACAAUUAUCUCUAUCUAUAACAGUACUUUCUGUGGAAAAUGUUAUUGAAAAUCUUCAAAUUUUAAGAAAAAUUGUUAAAAAUUGACUAUGAAGGGCAAUAACUCCUUAGGGGGUCAAUUGACUAUUUUGGUCAUAGUGACUUAUUUUUAGUUCUUACUUUGCUGUACAUUAUUGCUGUUUACAGUUUAUCUCUAUCUAUAAUAAUAUUCAAGAUAACAAAAAAAACAGCAAAAUUUCCUCAAAAUUACCAAUGCAGGGGCAGCAACCUAACAACCGAUUAUCCGAUUCAUCUGAAAAUUCCAGGGCAGAUAGAUCGUGACCUGAUCAACAAUUUUACUUCCUGUCAGAUUUGCUCUUAAUGCUUUGGUUUUUGAGUUAUAAGCCAAAAACUGCAUUUUACCCCCAUGUUCUAUUUUUAGCCAUGGCGGCCAUCUUGGUUUGUUGGCCGAGUUACCGGACACAUUUUUUAACUAGAUACCCCAAUUAUGGCUAAGUUUGGUUAAAUUUGGCCCAGUAGUUUCAGAGGAGAAGAUUUUUUCUAAAAGAUUACUAAGAUUUACGAAAAAUGGUUAAAAAUUGACUAUAAAGGGCAAUAACUCCUAAAGUGGUCAACUGACCUUUUUAGUCCUUGUGACUUAUUUGUAGAUCUUACUUUGCUGAACAUUAUUGCUGUUUACAGUUUAUCUCUAUCUAUAAUAAUAUUCACG
This 834-nucleotide long non-coding RNA is filed under the name Mytilus galloprovincialis (Mediterranean mussel). Lineage: Eukaryota; Metazoa; Mollusca; Bivalvia; Mytilida; Mytilidae. The record is from RNAcentral.